AGUGAACGCUGGCGGUAGGCCUAACACAUGCAAGUCGAACGGCAGCACAGUAAGAGCUUGCUCUUACGGGUGGCGAGUGGCGGACGGGUGAGGAAUACAUCGGAAUCUACUUUUUCGUGGGGGAUAACGUAGGGAAACUUCCGCUAAUACCGCAUACGACCUACGGGUGAAAGCCGGGGUUCUUCGGACCUUGCGCGAUUGAAUGAGCCGAUGUUGGAUUAGCUAGGUGGCGGGGUAAAGGCCCACAAAGGCCACGAUCGGAAGCUGGUCUGAGCGGAUGAACAGACAGACGGUAACUGAGACACGGCCCAGACACCUACGGGAGGCAGCAGUGGGGAAUAUUGGAGGAUGGGCGCAAGCCUGAUCCAGCCAUACCGGGUGAAUGAAGAAGGCCUUCGGGUUGUAAAGCCCUUUUGUUGGGAAAGAAAAGCAGCAGGUUAAUACCCCGCUGUUCUGACGGUACCCAAAGAAUAAGCACCGGCUAACUUCGUG
RNAcentral lists this ribosomal RNA (492 nucleotides) under uncultured bacterium. RNAcentral describes it as "partial 16S ribosomal RNA". It matches the Rfam family "Bacterial small subunit ribosomal RNA", at positions 29 to 507 of the family's 1533-position model. The record is from RNAcentral.